AAUCUAUACUUAUAAUAAAACUGUAACGGGUCGAAUUCUGUACAUUGAAGAUAUUUGAAAAAUUUUUUUUGGCACUCUAUAAUCGAUACUGAAGCCAAAACUGUAAUUUUUUUCAUUUUUGUCUGUCUGUCUGUCUUUGUGUCUGUCUGUCUGUCUGUCUGUCUGUCUGCUACGUUUUCACGGCCC
This is a long non-coding RNA of Maniola jurtina (meadow brown), 186 nucleotides long. RefSeq lists it as uncharacterized. The record is from RefSeq and is a predicted model, not a curated record. The transcript is spliced from 3 exons. NCBI's taxonomy places the organism in Eukaryota, Metazoa, Arthropoda, Insecta, Lepidoptera, Nymphalidae.